ACUUCAGUGUGGGAGGAAGGAAACAGUGAAUUUGUGAAUUGUGGGGAGAUAGUUCUAUUUGUCUUCUCCUGAUUUCCAGCUCUACAUCUCCCAGUCUGGCUCUUGGAUGGUCACUGGAACAAGCCCUCCAAGGGGGGCCCUGUCUCCAGGGACAGUGGCAAGUGGGGAGUUUGACCGGGGCAGUACACCUGUCGAAGUGUAACACAGGUGUCCUAAGGUGAGCUCAGGGAGGAUGGAAACCUUCCGUGGAGCAGAAGGGCAAAAGCUCACUUAAUCUUGUUUUUCAGUAGAAAUACAGACCUUGAAAGCGAGGCCUCAUGAUCCUUGGUGCUGUGCUGCCUUGGAAAUAGUCAAAG
RNAcentral lists this non-coding RNA (356 nucleotides) under Patagioenas fasciata monilis. Its description in RNAcentral is "Eukaryotic large subunit ribosomal RNA". It matches the Rfam family "Eukaryotic large subunit ribosomal RNA", at positions 2531 to 2802 of the family's 3401-position model. Lineage: Eukaryota; Metazoa; Chordata; Aves; Columbiformes; Columbidae. The record is from Rfam by way of RNAcentral.